GACACGGCCCAGACUCCUACGGGAGGCAGCAGUGGGGAAUCUUGGACAAUGGGCGCAAGCCUGAUCCAGCCAUGCCGCGUGAGUGAUGAAGGCCUUAGGGUCGUAAAGCUCUUUCGCCAGAGAUGAUAAUGACAGUAUCUGGUAAAGAAACCCCGGCUAA
Molecule: ribosomal RNA, 160 nt
Filed under: uncultured bacterium
Lineage: Bacteria
Description: partial 16S ribosomal RNA
Rfam family: Bacterial small subunit ribosomal RNA
Source: RNAcentral